CACGUAGGGACCAAGCGUUGUCCGGAUUCAUUGGGCGUAAAGAGCUCGUAGGCGGUUCGAUAAGUCGGGUGUGAAACCUCCAGGCUCAACCUGGAGACGCCACCCGAUACUGUCGUGACUAGAGUCCAGUAGGGGAGCGUGGAAUUCCUGGUGUAGCGGUGAAAUGCGUAGAGAUCAGGAAGAACACCGGUGGCGAAAGCGCUCUGCUAGGCCGCAACUGACACUCAUGGACGAAAGCUAGGGGAGCGAAUGGG
RNAcentral lists this ribosomal RNA (254 nucleotides) under uncultured bacterium. RNAcentral describes it as "partial 16S ribosomal RNA". It matches the Rfam family "Bacterial small subunit ribosomal RNA", at positions 524 to 776 of the family's 1533-position model. The record is from RNAcentral.